Molecule: ribosomal RNA, 497 nt
Filed under: uncultured bacterium
Lineage: Bacteria
Description: partial 16S ribosomal RNA
Rfam family: Bacterial small subunit ribosomal RNA
Source: RNAcentral
GAUGAACGCUGGCGGCGUGCCUAAUACAUGCAAGUCGAGCGAACAGAUAAGGAGCUUGCUCCUUUGACGUUAGCGGCGGACGGGUGAGUAACACGUGGGUAACCUACCUAUAAGACUGGAAUAACUCCGGGAAACCGGGGCUAAUGCCGGAUAACAUUUAGAACCGCAUGGUUCUAAAGUGAAAGAUGGUUUUGCUAUCACUUAUAGAUGGACCCGCGCCGUAUUAGCUAGUUGGUAAGGUAACGGCUUACCAAGGCAACGAUACGUAGCCGACCUGAGAGGGUGAUCGGCCACACUGGAACUGAGACACGGUCCAGACUCCUACGGGAGGCGGCAGUAGGGAAUCUUCCGCAAUGGGCGAAAGCCUGACGGAGCAACGCCGCGUGAGUGAUGAAGGUCUUCGGAUCGUAAAACUCUGUUAUUAGGGAAGAACAAAUGUGUAAGUAACUGUGCACGUCUUGACGGUACCUAAUCAGAAAGCCACGGCUAACUACGUG